GACGAAGGAUGCAAGCGUUAUCCGGAUUCAUUGGGCUUAAAGGGAGCGUAGGCGGCCUUGUAAGUCAGUGGUGAAAUCUCUCGGCUUAACCGAGAAAUUGCCAUUGAUACUGCAGGGCUUGAGUACAGUUGCCGUUGGCGGAAUAUGACAUGUAGUGGUGAAAUACAUAGAGAUGUCAUAGAACACCGAUUGCGAAGGCAGCUAACGAAACUGUAACUGACGCUGAGGCUCGAAAGUGCGGGGAUCAAACAGG
Molecule: ribosomal RNA, 253 nt
Filed under: uncultured bacterium
Lineage: Bacteria
Description: partial 16S ribosomal RNA
Rfam family: Bacterial small subunit ribosomal RNA
Source: RNAcentral